GAGUUCGACAGGCCGACGAUGUAAGAGACUCUUUGACCGAAUGGACAUAAAACUUCCUCUUCUUACGAACAAGUUUGGUGGUGGUAACUGACCUUCAUAGCUAAAAUAGAAAACUGUUUGGGAAGUAUGAAAAGACAUUUCUUAUGCCUGUGAUGUUCAGCCUCCAUGAAUGUUGCUGUAAUUGUAAAUAAUGUCAAAUUCCAUUUUCUAGCAAGUAUUAAUUAUAUAAGAGAAUGUUGUCUGCAGUAGCCCUGUGUUGUCAGUCAUUUCUGUUGCCUUUUUUAUUUCUGUCUGGAAUGAGUUCACUGAAGAGCUCCUCAUGAUUAGUUAUGUUUACAGAAGCCAGCACACAACCGCAACGGCGUUUAAGCACAGGACCAUUCAUCUAUAUUUUUAAUAAAUGUACCAAUUAAGAAAAA
Phyllostomus discolor (pale spear-nosed bat) is the source of this 419-nucleotide long non-coding RNA. RefSeq lists it as uncharacterized. The transcript has 3 exons. The record is from RefSeq and is a predicted model, not a curated record. Lineage: Eukaryota; Metazoa; Chordata; Mammalia; Chiroptera; Phyllostomidae.